CAGUCGCCGCGGGAAUACGUAGGGUGCGAGCGUUAAUCGGAAUUACUGGGCGUAAAGCGUGCGCAGGCGGUGAUGUAAGACAGAUGUGAAAUCCCCGGGCUCAACCUGGGAACUGCAUUAGUGACUGCAUCGCUGGAGUGCGGCAGAGGGGGAUGGAAUUCCGCGUGUAGCAGUGAAAUGCGUAGAUAUGCGGAGGAACACCGAUGGCGAAGGCAAUCCCCUGGGCCUGCACUGACGCUCAUGCACGAAAGCGUGGGGAGCAAACAGGAUUAGAUACCCCUGUAGUCCCUGUCUCUUAUAC
Molecule: ribosomal RNA, 301 nt
Filed under: uncultured bacterium
Lineage: Bacteria
Description: partial 16S ribosomal RNA
Rfam family: Bacterial small subunit ribosomal RNA
Source: RNAcentral